AGCAGUGGGGAAUUUUCCGCAAUGGGCGAAAGCCUGACGGAGCAAUACCGCGUGAGGGAGGAAGGCUCUUGGGUUGUAAACCUCUUUUCUUCGGGAAGAAGCUCUGACGGUACCGAAGGAAUCAGCAUCGGCUAACUCCGUGCCAGCAGCCGCGGUAAUACGGAGGAUGCAAGCGUUAUCCGGAAUAAUUGGGCGUAAAGCGUCCGCAGGUGGCGAUUCAAGUCUGCUGUCAAAGCUCCUGGCUCAACUGGGAAGUGGCAGUGGAAACUGAAAAGCAAGAGCGCGGUAGGGGUAGAGGGAAUUCCCGGUGUAGCGGUGUAAUGCGUAGAGAUCGGGAAGAACACCAGUGGCGAAAGCGCUCUACUAGGCCUGCACUGACACUCAGGGACGAAAGCUAGGGGAGCGAAUGGGAUUAGAUACCCCAGUAGUCCUAGCCGUAAACGAUGGAUACUAGGCGUGGCUUGUAUCGACCCGAGCCGUGCCGGAGCUAACGCGUUAAGUAUCCCGCCUGGGGAGUACGCGCGCAAGCGUGAAACUCAAAGGAAUUGACGGGGGCCCGCACAAGCGGUGGAGUAUGUGGUUUAAUUCGAUGCAACGCGAAGAACCUUACCAGGGCUUGACAUGUCCGGAAUCUUAGGGAAACCUGAGAGUGCCUUCGGGAGCCGGAACACAGGUGGUGCAUGGCUGUCGUUAGCUCGUAUCGUGAGAUGUUGGGUUAAGUCCCGCAACGAGCGCAACCCUCGUGCUUAGUUGCCAGCAUGAAAGAUGGGCACUCUAAGCAGACUGCCGGUGACAAACCGGAGGAAGGUGGGGAUGACGUCAAGUCAGCAUGCCCCUUACGUCCUGGGCUACACACGUACUACAAUGCUACGGACAAAGGGCAGCAAGCGGGCGACCGCAAGCGAAUCCCGCAAAACCGUAGCUCAGUUCAGAU
RNAcentral lists this ribosomal RNA (934 nucleotides) under uncultured Pleurocapsales cyanobacterium. RNAcentral describes it as "bacterial SSU rRNA". It matches the Rfam family "Bacterial small subunit ribosomal RNA", at positions 350 to 1298 of the family's 1533-position model. The record is from RNAcentral. Lineage: Bacteria; Bacillati; Cyanobacteriota; Cyanophyceae; Pleurocapsales.